Molecule: ribosomal RNA, 480 nt
Filed under: uncultured bacterium
Lineage: Bacteria
Description: partial 16S ribosomal RNA
Rfam family: Bacterial small subunit ribosomal RNA
Source: RNAcentral
GACGAACGCUGGCGGCGUGCUUAACACAUGCAAGUCGAGCGGAAAGGCCCUUUCGGGGGUACUCGAGCGGCGAACGGGUGAGUAACACGUGAGUAAUCUGCCCCUGGCUUUGGGAUAGCCACCGGAAACGGUGAUUAAUACCGGAUACGACCACUUCUCGCAUGGGCUGGUGGUGGAAAGUUUUUCGGCCAGGGACGUGCUCGCGGCCUAUCAGCUUGAUGGUGAGGUAAUGGCUCACCAUGGCCUCGACGGGUAGCCGGCCUGAGGGGGUGACCGGUCAAACUGGGACUGAGACACGGCCCAGACUCCUACGGGAGGCAGCAGUGGGGAAUAUUGGACAAUGGGCGGAAGCCUGAUCCAGCAACGCCGCGUGAGGGAUGACGGCCUUCGGGUUGUAAACCUCUUUCAGCAGGGACGAAGCGCAAGUGACGGUACCUGCAGAAGAAGCACCGGCCAACUACGUGCCAGCCGCCGCCGUAA